GCCAGGUGCGGUGGUGCCUGCCUGUAAUCCCAGCGGCUAGGGAGGCUGAGGCAGGAGGAUCACAAGUUCAAGGCCAGACUCAACAACUUAAGGAGGUCCUAAGCAACUCAGUGAGAUCCUGUUUUAA
RNAcentral lists this small RNA (127 nucleotides) under Marmota monax (woodchuck). Lineage: Eukaryota; Metazoa; Chordata; Mammalia; Rodentia; Sciuridae. The record is from RNAcentral.